This 332-nucleotide unclassified non-coding RNA is filed under the name Hevea brasiliensis (rubber tree). The record is from RNAcentral. Lineage: Eukaryota; Viridiplantae; Streptophyta; Magnoliopsida; Malpighiales; Euphorbiaceae.
UAUUUUGAGGAAAACAAAAAAAUUAGUCUCUAUACUCUCUCUAUCCUACUCAUUUUUCUUGUUUUUUGCUAACUUUCCGCUGUUCUCAAUUCAAGGCUUGCUGUUAUGUCUUUAUAUUUUUUUCACUUGGUUUUCAAAUGGAACCUGACUGACCAGUGCUAUCUUGCAUAUCUACUUUUGUUGCCUCAUCUGGAUUCUGAACAAGAAACAGAUACUGCCUUGAUUAUUUGAAAUUUAGUCACUUGAAACAAAGGAUAAUUUGGCCUCUGGUAAAAUUUACCAUUUAGUAUGAGGUUGGAUUUUGUUUGUUGUUGUUUUCAUUUAUACACACA